GACGAACGCUGGCGGCGUGCUUAACACAUGCAAGUCGAACGAAAAUACCAAGCUUGCUUGGUUGAUUAGUGGCGAACGGGUGAGUAACACGUGAGUAACCUGCCCCUUACUUUCCUGGAUAACUGCUCGAAAGGGUAGCUAAUACGGGAUAUUCUGACCAGCCUGCAUGGGUUGGUUUGGAAAGGUUGUUUUUCUGGUAAGGGAUGGGCUCGCGGCCUAUCGGCUUGUUGGUGGGGUGAUGGCCUACCAAGGCUUUGACGAGUAGCGGGCCUGAGAGGGUGGACGGUGAGACUGGGACUGAGAUACGGGCCAGAGUCCUACGGGAGGCAGCAGUGGGGAAUAUUGCACAAUGGGCGAAAGCCUGAUGCAGCGACGCCGCGUGAGGGAUGAAGGCCUGCGGGUUGUAAGCCUCUUUCGUCAGGGAACAAGGCACUGCUUUUUUGGUGGUGUUGAGGGUACCUGGAUAAGAAGCGCCGGCUAACUACGUG
Molecule: ribosomal RNA, 488 nt
Filed under: uncultured bacterium
Lineage: Bacteria
Description: partial 16S ribosomal RNA
Rfam family: Bacterial small subunit ribosomal RNA
Source: RNAcentral